GAUGAACGCUGGCGGCGUGCCUAAUACAUGCAAGUCGAACGCUGGAGAUCUAGCUUGCUAGAUCGAAGGAGUGGCGAACGGGUGAGUAAUACAUAAGCAACCUACCCACGAAGACUGGGAUAAUCUCUGGAAACGGGGACUAAUACCGGAUAGGUAAUCGGAAGGCAUCUUCUGGUUAUUAAAGGUUAAAAACACUGGUGGAUGGGCUUAUGGCGCAUUAGUUAGUUGGUGAGGUAACGGCCCACCAAGACGAUGAUGCGUAGCCGGCCUGAGAGGGUGAACGGCCACAUUGGGACUGAGACACGGCCCAGACUCCUACGGGAGGCAGCAGUAGGGAAUUUUCGGCAAUGGGGGCAACCCUGACCGAGCAACGCCGCGUGAGUGAAGACGGCCUUCGGGUUGUAAAGCUCUGUUGUAAGGGAAGAACGGUAGAUAGAGAAUAUCUAAGUGACGGUACCUUACCAGAAAGCCACGGCUAACUACGUGCCAGCAGCCGCGGUAAUACGUAGGUGGCGAGCGUUAUCCGGAAUUAUUGGGCGUAAAGGGUGCGUAGGCGGCCUGUUAAGUAAGUGGUUAAAUUGUUGGGCUCAACCCAAUCCAGCCACUUAAACUGGCAGGCUAGAGUAUUGGAGAGGCAAGUGGAAUUCCAUGUGUAGCGGUAAAAUGCGUAGAUAUAUGGAGGAACACCAGUGGCGAAGCGGCUUUGCUAGCCAAAGACUGACGCUCAUGCACGAAAGCGUGGGGGAGCAAAUAGG
RNAcentral lists this ribosomal RNA (755 nucleotides) under uncultured Bulleidia sp. Its description in RNAcentral is "bacterial SSU rRNA". It matches the Rfam family "Bacterial small subunit ribosomal RNA", at positions 28 to 776 of the family's 1533-position model. Lineage: Bacteria; Bacillati; Bacillota; Erysipelotrichia; Erysipelotrichales; Erysipelotrichaceae. The record is from RNAcentral.